RNAcentral lists this ribosomal RNA (1192 nucleotides) under Hyalocylis striata. Its description in RNAcentral is "SSU rRNA". It matches the Rfam family "Eukaryotic small subunit ribosomal RNA", at positions 46 to 1211 of the family's 1831-position model. Lineage: Eukaryota; Metazoa; Mollusca; Gastropoda; Pteropoda; Cavoliniidae. The record is from RNAcentral.
UAGCCAUGCAUGUCUAAGUUCACACUGUCUCACGGUGAAACCGCGAAUGGCUCAUUAAAUCAGUCGAGGUUCCUUAGAUGACACGAUCCUACUUGGAUAACUGUGGCAAUUCUAGAGCUAAUACAUGCUUAUCAAGCUCCGACCCUCGUGGAAAGAGCGCUUUUAUUAGUUCAAAACCAAUCGCGGUCUCUCUUCGGAGGGCCGCGUCCCUUUUGGUGACUCUGGAUAACUUUGUGCUGAUCGCAUGGCCUCGCGCCGGCGACGCAUCUUUCAAAUGUCUGCCCUAUCAAAUGUCGAUGGUACGUGAUAUGCCUACCAUGUUUGCAACGGGUAACGGGGAAUCAGGGUUCGAUUCCGGAGAGGGAGCAUGAGAAACGGCUACCACAUCCAAGGAAGGCAGCAGGCGCGCAACUUACCCACUCCCGGCACGGGGAGGUAGUGACGAAAAAUAACAAUACGGGACUCUUUCGAGGCCCCGUAAUUGGAAUGAGUACACUUUAAACCCUUUAACGAGGAUCUAUUGGAGGGCAAGUCUGGUGCCAGCAGCCGCGGUAAUUCCAGCUCCAAUAGCGUAUAUUAAAGUUGUUGCAGUUAAAAAGCUCGUAGUUGGAUCUCAGGCGCAGGCGGGCGGUCCGGCUCGCGCCGGCUCACUGCCCGUUUUUUCCUGCCCUACCGUCUGCCGGCUCUCUCCCGCGGGUGCUCUUCGCUGAGCGUCCCGGGUGGCCGGCGCGUUUACUUUGAAAAAAUUAGAGUGUUCAAAGCAGGCCUCGGCAGCCUGAAUAAUGGUGCAUGGAAUAAUGGAAUAGGACCUCGGUUCUAUUUUGUUGGUUUUCGGAACGGAGGUAAUGAUUAACAGGGACAAACGGGGGCAUUCGUAUUGCGGCGUUAGAGGUGAAAUUCUUGGAUCGCCGCAAGACGAGCUACUGCGAAAGCAUUUGUCAAGAAUGUUUUCAUUAGUCAAGAACGAAAGUCAGAGGCGCGAAGACGAUCAGAUACCGUCGUAGUUCUGACCAUAAACGAUGCCGACUAGCGAUCCGCAGGAGUUGCUUUGAUGACUCUGCGGGCAGCUUCCGGGAAACCAAAGUCUUUGGGUUCCGGGGGAAGUAUGGUUGCAAAGCUGAAACUUAAAGGAAUUGACGGAAGGGCACCACCAGGAGUGGAGCCUGCGGCUUAAUUUGACUCAACACGGGAA